GUUUGUUGGUGAGGUAAUGGCCCACCAAGACUAUUACAGGUACGGGCUCUGAGAGGAGUAGCCCGGAGAUGGGUACUGAGACACGGACCCAGGCCCUAUGGGGCGCAGCAGGCGAGAAAACUUUGCAAUGUGCGAAAGCACGACAAGGUUAAUCCGAGUGGUUUCUGUUAAAGAAACCUUUUGUCAGUCCUAGAAACACUAACGAAUAAGGGGUGGGCAAGUUCUGGUGUCAGCCGCCGCGGUAAAACCAGCACCUCAAGUGGUCAGGAUGAUUAUUGGGCCUAAAGCAUCCGUAGCUUGCUUUGUAAGUUCUCGGUUAAAUCCAUACGCUUAACGUAUGGGCUGCCGGCAAUACUGCAAAGCUAGGGAGUGGGAGAGGUAGACGGUACUCGGUAGGAAGGGGUAAAAUCCUUUGAUCUAUUGAUGACCACCUGUGGCGAAGGCGGUCUACCAGAACACGUCCGUCGGUGAGGGAUGAAAGCUGGGGGAGCAAACCGGAUUAGAUACCCGGGUAGUCCCAGCUGUAAACUAUGCAAACUCAGUGAUGCAUUGGCUUGUGGCCAAUGCAGUGCUGCAGGGAAGCCGUUAAGUUUGCCGCCUGGGAAGUACGUACGCAAGUAUGAAACUUAAAGGAAUUGGCGGGGGAGCACCACAAGGGGUGAAGCCUGCGGUUC
This 674-nucleotide ribosomal RNA is filed under the name uncultured archaeon. RNAcentral's name for it is "bacterial SSU rRNA". It matches the Rfam family "Archaeal small subunit ribosomal RNA", at positions 228 to 903 of the family's 1478-position model. The record is from RNAcentral.